GAUGAACGCUGGCUACAGGCUUAACACAUGCAAGUCGAGGGGAGACGACGGGGAAGCUUGCUUCCCCGGGCGUCGACCGGCGCACGGGUGAGUAACGCGUAUCCAACCUGCCUCUGACUGAGGGAUAACCCGUCGAAAGUCGGCCUAAUACCUCAUGGCAUCGUCUGCGGGCAUCCAACGACGAUUAAAGAUUUCAUCGGUCAGGGAUGGGGAUGCGUCUGAUUAGCUAGUUGGCGGGGUAACGGCCCACCAAGGCGACGAUCAGUAGGGGUUCUGAGAGGAAGGUCCCCCACAUUGGAACUGAGACACGGUCCAAACUCCUACGGGAGGCAGCAGUGAGGAAUAUUGGUCAAUGGGCGAGAGCCUGAACCAGCCAAGUAGCGUGCAGGAUGACGGCCCUAUGGGUUGUAAACUGCUUUUAUGCGGGGAUAAAGUGAGGGACGUGUCCUUCAUUGCAGGUACCGCAUGAAUAAGGACCGGCUAAUUCCGUG
This 491-nucleotide ribosomal RNA is filed under the name uncultured bacterium. RNAcentral describes it as "partial 16S ribosomal RNA". It matches the Rfam family "Bacterial small subunit ribosomal RNA", at positions 28 to 507 of the family's 1533-position model. The record is from RNAcentral.